Long non-coding RNA from Mauremys reevesii (Reeves's turtle), 493 nucleotides. RefSeq lists it as uncharacterized. NCBI's taxonomy places the organism in Eukaryota, Metazoa, Chordata, Testudines, Geoemydidae. The record is from RefSeq and is a predicted model, not a curated record. The transcript has 3 exons.
UUGAAAUCUUGGAAGGAAGAAAAGUACAUAUUGAAAAUGCAGUUUGAUCAAGAUAUGCAAACCCCGCUUGCCCCAGGGAUGGACCCUGACUGUCCCACAGAACAAACUCUCUGACCAUGAUGAGGGUGAUUCUGGAUCCUGGACAGAACCAAGGAAGACUGAAGAUGCUGGACCAUAGGAACACUGGAGCACAGGAACAGGACGUGAUGCUCACCAGAAAUUAUGUCACUGAGAGAGAGGAUUCCCUUAUGCUAAGGAAUCACAGCAUGCAGGACCUCCCUACCAACGGCUGCAUCGGCUGAAGAUUCCGUAUCUGUCUUGUAAGAGUUGGUAAAUGUAUACAUGAAUAACCAAGCUGCAGCUAUGCAGAUUUCAUCAUAAAGGGCUUGCUCUUUCACAGCCCAUAAUGCCGCCAUCACUUUUGUACUGAGUGAGCUCUGGUACCAAGGGAGGACUGAGUCCUUUAUGCCUGUAUGCAUAACAUUUUAUACGC